RNAcentral lists this ribosomal RNA (981 nucleotides) under Triticum aestivum (bread wheat). RNAcentral describes it as "partial small subunit ribosomal RNA". The record is from RNAcentral. Lineage: Eukaryota; Viridiplantae; Streptophyta; Magnoliopsida; Poales; Poaceae.
AUGCAGAUCUUUGUCAAGACCCUCACAGGCAAGACUAUCACUCUUGAGGUCGAGAGUUCAGAUACCAUUGACAAUGUUAAAGCCAAGAUUCAGGACAAGGAGGGCAUUCCUCCGGACCAACAGAGGCUCAUAUUUGCUGGCAAGCAGCUAGAGGAUGGCCGGACAUUGGCCGAUUACAACAUCCAAAAGGAGUCUACCCUCCACCUUGUUCUCCGCCUGAGAGGUGGGAUGCAGAUCUUUGUGAAAACUCUUACCGGGAAGACCAUAACUCUAGAAGUUGAGAGUUCGGACACCAUCGACAAUGUCAAGGCAAAGAUCCAGGACAAGGAGGGUAUCCCACCAGAUCAACAGAGGCUCAUCUUCGCUGGCAAGCAGCUUGAGGAUGGGCGUACAUUGGCUGAUUACAACAUUCAGAAGGAGUCUACUCUUCACCUAGUCCUCCGUCUCCGUGGUGGCAUGCAGAUAUUUGUCAAGACACUAACCGGAAAGACCAUCACUCUUGACCAGAGGCUCAUCUUUGCUGGAAAGCAGCUCGAGGAUGAGCGCACUUUGGCAGAUUACAAUAUUCAGAAGGAGUCUACCCUUCACCUGGUCCUCCGCCUCCGUGGUGGGAUGCAGAUCUUUGUCAAAACGCUAACCGGGAAGACCAUUACACUUGAGGUUGAGAGCUCUGACACAAUUGAUAAUGUGGAGGCCAAGAUCCAGGAUAAGGAAGGUAUCCCGCCUGACCAGCAGAGGCUCAUCUUUGCCGGAAAGCAGCUCGAGGACGGGCGUACGUUGGUGGAGAGCUCUGACACCAUUGAUAAUGUGAAGUCCAAGAUCCAGGACAAGGAGGGAAUUCCUCCAGAUCAGCAGAGGCUUAUCUUUGCAGGGAAGCAACUGGAGGAUGGGCGUACCUUGGCAGAUUAUAACAUCCAAAAAGAAUCCACUCUUCAUCUUGUCCUGCGCCUCCGUGGUGGCCUUUGGUGGCCUUUUAACUAA